AUACGUAGGGGGCGAGCGUUGUCCGGAAUUAUUGGGCGUAAAGCGCGCGCAGGCGGUCCUUUAAGUCUGAUGUGAAAGCCCACGGCUCAACCGCGGAGGGUCAUUGGAAACUGGGGGACUUGAGUGCAGGAGAGGAGAGCGGAAUUCCACGUGUAGCGGUGAAAUGCGUAGAGAUGUGGAGGAACACCAGUGGCGAAGGCGGCUCUCUGGCCUGCAACUGACGCUGAGGCGCGAAGGCGUGGGGAGCAAACAGGAUUAGAUACCCUGGUAGUCUACGCCGUAAACGAUAAGUGCUAAGUGUUAGAGGGGUCACACCCUUUAGUGCUGCAGCUAACGCGAUAAGCACUCCGCCUGGGGAGUACGGCCGCAAGGCUGAA
Molecule: ribosomal RNA, 377 nt
Filed under: uncultured bacterium
Lineage: Bacteria
Description: bacterial SSU rRNA
Rfam family: Bacterial small subunit ribosomal RNA
Source: RNAcentral